RNAcentral lists this ribosomal RNA (420 nucleotides) under uncultured bacterium. RNAcentral's name for it is "bacterial SSU rRNA". It matches the Rfam family "Bacterial small subunit ribosomal RNA", at positions 356 to 773 of the family's 1533-position model. The record is from RNAcentral.
AGGGAAUAUUGGUCAAUGGACGCAAGUCUGAACCAGCCACGCCGCGUGGAGGAAGAAGGUUCUCUGGAUCGUAAACUCCUUUUAUAUGGGAAUAAAGACGGGCUAUACGCCUGAGCUGAAUGUACCAUAGGAAUAAGCCACGGCUAACUACGUGCCAGCAGCCGCGGUAAUACGUAGGUGGCAAGCGUUGUCCGGAUUUAUUGGGUUUAAAGGGUGCGUAGGCGGUUUGAUCAGUCAGUCGUUAAAGGCAGCAGCUUAACUGUUGUAAGGCGAUUGAUACUGUCGAACUUGAAUUCGUUUGAGGUACUUGGAAUGCGUAGUGUAGCGGUGAAAUGCAUAGAUAUUACGCGGAACGCCAAUUGCGGAGGCAGAGUACUAGGACGAGAUUGACGCUGAGGCACGAAAGUGUGGGUAGCAAAC